This 484-nucleotide ribosomal RNA is filed under the name uncultured bacterium. RNAcentral describes it as "partial 16S ribosomal RNA". It matches the Rfam family "Bacterial small subunit ribosomal RNA", at positions 29 to 507 of the family's 1533-position model. The record is from RNAcentral.
AUUGAACGCUGGCGGCAUGCUUUACACAUGCAAGUCGAACGGCAGCGCGGGCUUCGGCCUGGCGGCGAGUGGCGAACGGGUGAGUAAUACAUCGGAACGUGCCCAGUAGUGGGGGAUAGCUCGGCGAAAGCCGGAUUAAUACCGCAUACGACCUGAGGGUGAAAGCGGGGGAUCUUCGGACCUCGCGCUAUUGGAGCGGCCGAUGGCAGAUUAGCUAGUUGGUGGGGUAAAGGCCUACCAAGGCGACGAUCUGUAGCUGGUCUGAGAGGACGACCAGCCACACUGGGACUGAGACACGGCCGAGACUCCUACGGGAGGCAGCAGUGGGGAAUUUUGGACAAUGGGCGAAAGCCUGAUCCAGCAAUGCCGCGUGUGUGAUGAAGGCCUUCGGGUUGUAAAGCACUUUUGGCGGGAACGAAAAGGACUGUGCCAAUACCACGGUUCGAUGACGGUACCCGCAGAAUAAGCACCGGCUAACUACGUG